Molecule: transfer RNA, 74 nt
Filed under: Triticum aestivum (bread wheat)
Lineage: Eukaryota; Viridiplantae; Streptophyta; Magnoliopsida; Poales; Poaceae
Description: tRNA-Met (CAT) (tRNA-Met-CAT-13-1, tRNA-Met-CAT-14-1)
Rfam family: tRNA
About the family: Transfer RNA (tRNA) molecules are approximately 80 nucleotides in length. Their secondary structure includes four short double-helical elements and three loops (D, anti-codon, and T loops).
Source: RNAcentral
GGGGUGGUGGCGCAGUUGGCUAGCGCGUAGGUCUCAUAAUCCUGAGGUCGAGAGUUCGAGCCUCUGUCACCCCA